RNAcentral lists this non-coding RNA (65 nucleotides) under Arthrobacter sp. Lineage: Bacteria; Bacillati; Actinomycetota; Actinomycetes; Micrococcales; Micrococcaceae. The record is from RNAcentral.
GGCAUUCCCGAGAUGGGAUUCCGGACGAUGGGUGCCGUACCCGGUGUGCGACAAGACGGCCCGCG